UACAGAGGUCCCAAGCGUUGUUCGGAUUCACUGGGCGUAAAGGGUGCGUAGGUGGCAAGGUAAGUUCGAUGUGAAAGCUUCGAGCUCAACUCGGAAAUUGCAUUGAAAACUAUCUUGCUUGAGGGUCGGAGGGGAGACUGGAAUUCUCGGUGUAGCAGUGAAAUGCGUAGAUAUCGAGAGGAACACCGGUGGCGAAGGCGAGUCUCUGGACGAUUCCUGACACUGAGGCACGAAAGCUAGGGGAUCAAACAGG
This 253-nucleotide ribosomal RNA is filed under the name uncultured bacterium. RNAcentral's name for it is "partial 16S ribosomal RNA". It matches the Rfam family "Bacterial small subunit ribosomal RNA", at positions 524 to 776 of the family's 1533-position model. The record is from RNAcentral.